RNAcentral lists this unclassified non-coding RNA (180 nucleotides) under plant metagenome. RNAcentral's name for it is "partial contains small subunit ribosomal RNA and internal transcribed spacer 1". The stretch from base 1 to 46 matches the Rfam family "Eukaryotic small subunit ribosomal RNA", at positions 1786 to 1831 of the family's 1831-position model. The record is from RNAcentral.
AAGUCGUAACAAGGUUUCCGUAGGUGAACCUGCGGAAGGAUCAUUAAUAAACGGCGAAGCUCGCAAGAGCUUAGCUUUAUAUUAUCCAUAACACCUGUGAACUAUUUGCCUUCUUGUCAUGAGAAGGUACACCUUACAAACAUAACUGUAAUGAAUGUAAUCUAUUAUAACAUAAUACAA